CAGCCGCCGCGGUAAUACAGAGGGUGCGAGCGUUAAUCGGAUUUACUGGGCGUAAAGCGUGCGUAGGCGGCUUUUUAAGUCGGAUGUGAAAUCCCUGAGCUUAACUUAGGAAUUGCAUUCGAUACUGGGAAGCUAGAGUAUGGGAGAGGAUGGUAGAAUUCCAGGUGUAGCCGUGAAAUGCGUAGAGAUCUGGAGGAAUACCGAUGGCGAAGGCAGCCAUCUGGCCUAAUACUGACGCUGAGGUACGAAAGCAUGGGGAGCAAACAGGAUUAGAUACCCCAGUAGUCCCUGUCUCUUAUAC
This 301-nucleotide ribosomal RNA is filed under the name uncultured bacterium. Its description in RNAcentral is "partial 16S ribosomal RNA". It matches the Rfam family "Bacterial small subunit ribosomal RNA", at positions 509 to 807 of the family's 1533-position model. The record is from RNAcentral.